GACGAACGCUGGCGGCGUGCCUAAUACAUGCAAGUUGAGCGCUGAAGGUUGGUACUUGUACCAACUGGAUGAGCAGCGAACGGGUGAGUAACGCGUGGGGAAUCUGCCUUUGAGCGGGGGACAACAUUUGGAAACGAAUGCUAAUACCGCAUAAAAACUUUAAACACAAGUUUUAAGUUUGAAAGAUGCAAUUGCAUCACUCAAAGAUGAUCCCGCGUUGUAUUAGCUAGUUGGUGAGGUAAAGGCUCACCAAGGCGAUGAUACAUAGCCGACCUGAGAGGGUGAUCGGCCACAUUGGGACUGAGACACGGCCCAAACUCCUACGGGAGGGAGCAGUAGGGAAUCUUCGGCAAUGGAGGAAAGUCUGACCGAGCAACGCCGCGUGAGUGAAGAAGGUUUUCGGAUCGUAAAACUCUGUUGGUAGAGAAGAACGUUGGUGGGAGUGGAAAGCUCAUCAAGUGACGGUAACUACCCAGAAAGGGACGGCUAACUACGUG
RNAcentral lists this ribosomal RNA (497 nucleotides) under uncultured bacterium. RNAcentral describes it as "partial 16S ribosomal RNA". It matches the Rfam family "Bacterial small subunit ribosomal RNA", at positions 28 to 507 of the family's 1533-position model. The record is from RNAcentral.